AUCUAGCAGGAAGACGAGUCCCAAAUAGGACGAAAUGCGCAUCCUGGAU
RNAcentral lists this non-coding RNA (49 nucleotides) under Trichobilharzia regenti. The record is from RNAcentral. Lineage: Eukaryota; Metazoa; Platyhelminthes; Trematoda; Strigeidida; Schistosomatidae.